Long non-coding RNA from Morone saxatilis (striped sea-bass), 1804 nucleotides. RefSeq lists it as uncharacterized. The record is from RefSeq and is a predicted model, not a curated record. NCBI's taxonomy places the organism in Eukaryota, Metazoa, Chordata, Actinopteri, Moronidae. The transcript has 2 exons.
UGCCCCCAGUUCACCGAUUCCUGUGACAUCCCCAUCACAGUCCAUGGAUCUUUCCCAGAGUGCAUUGCAGGUUUCACAGCCCGCUGCUAACACUGGGGGGAUGAUCUCAUCCGCUGCCGCCUCAGUCACUUCCUGGUUCAGAGCGUACACUGGCCAGCGCUGAUUCACCCGUACCAGAACCUGUCCAGACCGGACUGGUGCAGAUCUGGAACUCCUGGAGGUCUCAGACUUUUGGUCUGGCUUUGGCAUCAAAGGUCAAAGGUCAGGCAGGCAGGUCAGAGGUCAGCAGGUCCAAAUGCCUGGAGCUGCUAAAGAGCCAAUCACAGAUUAUUAAGAUCAGGUACUCCAGGGUCCAGGUACAGUUUGGUUCAGGUUCACUAGGCCACUUGUUGAGAACUUUAUUUGAACUUGAAUGUUAUCAGCUUAUUAACAUGUAAUUAAUGGGUUAUAAUGACCAUAAUGUGUUAAUUCCUGUUUAUGACUAUAAGGAUUGUGGUAUCAGAUCAAACUCUGUAUUGAAUUCAACAGUGAUAGAUCAAUUCUAAACAUUAUAUAUAUAUAUAUACAUAUAUAUCAGCAGAUCAUCAUAAAACACAUCUGUAAUGGUUCCCACCAAACGUGAAUAUAUUCCCUUUAUUCUGUGUCACUGCAGGAGUUUGAGCCCACAAUAAUUUGAUGUUUCUGUGAUUUAAUGUUAAUAAACGGAUUAAUAUGAUGUUGAAAUAACGACAUCAUGAUGAUUGAUUUCUAAAGUCUGAAUUCAGACUGUCGGUCUGUCUGUAAGAUGACGAGCAAACUGCUUUUAAAAUGCCUGUUUUCUGAAUGCAGUUUGGUUGAUCAGGGCUACGCUAACUUAACCUUGGUGGCUCUCAGCAGACAGGUUGGGAAAAGAGAGAGAAGAUAAAUCCACUUUUUAAUCCCAAAAGUUUCAGUAAUAAACAUUGUGAAUGUGAAUGACUGUUUAUGGGCUCUCUCCUGCAGAGCUCCCCGGGCUCCAGCAGCUGUCUGUGGGCAGCAGCAGCAGCUCUGUCUCUCCCUCCUCCUCACAGACUGUAAACACCCCGACAUACGAUACGACCACCUCAAAUGUGUACAUUUUACACUCCCACAAAUACGUGAAUGAGGUUUUAUGCGUGUUCGUCAUUCACAUCCGCUGCCGUGAAUUCGUGUCCAUUCACGUCUUUGAUUUUGUAUGGAAUCUACUUGCAUAAAUAAUUAUAUUAAUCACGUUUGAUGGGAAUAAUAAACAAUAUAAAAUAAUAAUAACGUGCAUAAUAAUAUAAAAUCUGUCUUUAUAGGAGAAAUUAUAAUUAUAGAACAUUAAUAUCAGUUUAUAACACUUUAUAAUCUGUUAUAAACUAUUUAUUACAUGUUUAUAUGAAAAGAGCAAAGAAUCAUCUUUCACUACCUGUCGACCUGCCAGCCUGUCUGUCUGCCUAUCUGUCUGUCCGUCUGUCUCACCACAAAGGGAAAGUUUCUGUUUUUAUUUUCUCUUUUUGUUUGUUUUUUCUUCGUUUGUGAAACAAAGACAACAAACGGACUUCCUGCUGUGAUUACAGCAGUGCUAACAAACUCACAGCGGUUGCCAUGGCAAUAACGAACCCUGUUUAUACACACACCACACACACACACACACACACAGCGGACUGAAUGUGGUUCAGGUUGAUGGUUUACCUGUCCUACAGGUGAGUGUCAGCCUGAUGGAGAGAACUGGUUCUACACUGAUGUGUUUAAAGGACGUGUGACAUUUUCUGUUUCCAUGAAAAGAUUGAAAUGAAAUAAAAUCCUGUUUUCUGGUUUUCAA